CCUACGUGAGGCAGCAGUGAGGAAUAUUGGUCAAUGGGCUAAGGCCUGAACCAGCCAAGUCGCGUGAGGGAAGACGGUCCUAUGGAUUGUAAACCUCUUUUGUCGGGGAGCAACGAGGCCACGUGUGGCCGAAGUGAGAGUACCCGAAGACAACGCAUCGGCUAACUCCGUGCCAGCAGCCGCGGUAAUACGGAGGAUGCGUGGGUUAUCCGGAUUUAUUGGGUUUAGAGGGUGCGUAGGCGGAACGUUAAGUCAGCGGUAAAAGCGAGGGGCUCAACCCCUUUAAGCCGUUGAAACUGGUGAUCUGGAGUGGGCUAGAAGGAGGCGGAAUGCGUGGUGUAGCGGUGAAAUGCAUAGAUAGCACGCAGAACUCCGAUUGCGAAGGCAGCAGACCGGCGCCCGACUGACGCUGAGGCACGAAAGCGUGGGGAUCGAACAGGAUUAGAUACCCUUGUAGUC
This 459-nucleotide ribosomal RNA is filed under the name uncultured bacterium. Its description in RNAcentral is "partial 16S ribosomal RNA". It matches the Rfam family "Bacterial small subunit ribosomal RNA", at positions 338 to 795 of the family's 1533-position model. The record is from RNAcentral.